Molecule: long non-coding RNA, 754 nt
Filed under: Amborella trichopoda
Lineage: Eukaryota; Viridiplantae; Streptophyta; Magnoliopsida; Amborellales; Amborellaceae
Description: long non-coding RNA (ATRI_LNC003539)
Source: RNAcentral
UAAGCAUUCAUAGUGAAAAAAGUAUUCAAUUUAGCAAUCUUAUCAAUAUAAUCAUCACGGAUGGCAUAUUGAACAUCAUGGCUAUCAUAUAAUUAAUAUAACUAUCAUCAUUCACAUUCACACAUCCAAUCAUUAACCACUCACACCUUAGAUUCACCUAUUCCCAAAAUAGAUGCACUAUUCAUCAGGCUACGCCAAAUCCUAUUGUUUAGGACUUCUACCAUCACUCGGGAGAGAGGGCAAUGACAAUGAGUGUCAAACUCGAUAAUGCCCUCACACACACAGUCCCCAUUGUGCUUUGGGGCUUUGAUAAACACUUUCCUUACAAAUCAUGAUUUAUUAUUUACUUUUUAUAAUACGCUAAAUUUCGGAGGCGGGGGGGAGCGACCCAUCCAUUACACUUUCUACCUAAUUCCCCUCCUAUCGUACAAGGAUUUAACAAAUAUUGCUGGCCAUACUCUCUUAUCAAGUCACAUCACACCACCACAGAUAACCCAUGCGUGGCGUCACUCACUCACUUCACUACUAUCAAUUACAAAAGAGGGUCAUGCUUGGAGCAUUCCUUCAUAACACUAUUCACGUAGCAUUCAUUCUUUGGCACUUAGGCCUUUCACAUUUCCAACAUAUUUCAUUGUAUAACAUUCAUUAGAUGGCACGUUAGCAAAUGAAUAUUACAUGGCACUCAAUAAUUAACAUUCAUACUCAUGUCAUGAUACUCGCUGCAUAGUAUGCACAUUCACUAUUUAGAUAUCAC